Molecule: ribosomal RNA, 935 nt
Filed under: uncultured organism
Description: bacterial SSU rRNA
Rfam family: Bacterial small subunit ribosomal RNA
Source: RNAcentral
AUGCAAGUCGGAUGCGAUCAUCAACGUCGGUUGGUUAGUAGCAUGGCAGACGGGUGAGGAGCACGUACCUGACCUGACACACGGAGGGGGAUAGUCCCCCGAAAGGGGGUUGAAUACCGCGUACGCUCGUCAAGGCAGCUUGAUGAGGAGAGGUGGCCUCUGCAUGCACGCUAUCGCCGUGUGAGGGGGGUGCGUCCUAUUAGCUGGCUGGUGGGGUAAUGGCCUACCAGGGCGACGAUGGGUCGCUGGUCUGAGAGGAUGAUCAGCCACACUGGGACUGAGACACGGCCCAGACUCCUACGGGAGGCAGCAGUGGGGAAUUUUGCGCAAUGGGGGGAACCCUGACGCAGCAACGCCGUGUGAGUGACGACGCCGUUCGCGGUGUAAAGCUCUGUGAGGCGGGACGAAGGCUCCGGGUGAAGAACCUGCGAGGGUGACGGUACCGCCACAGCAAGCCCCGGCUAACUCCGUGCCAGCAGCCGCGGUAAGACGGAGGGGGCGAGCGUUGUUCGGAAUUACUGGGCGUAAAGCGCCCGCAGGCGGUGACGUGAGUGUUUCGUGAAAGCCCCCGGCUCAACCGGGGACGGGCGAAGCAGACUGCGUGACUUGAGUGCUGGAGGGGGAGGCGGAAUUCCUGGUGGAGCGGUGAAAUGCGUAGAGAUCAGGAAGAACGUCAGUGGCGAAGGCGGCCUCCUGGACAGACACUGACGCUGAGGGGCGAGAGCGAGGGGAGCGAACGGGAUUAGAUACCCCGGUAGUCCACGCCGUAAACGCUGGGCACUAGGUGUGGGGGUGGAGAUCACUUCCGUGCCGGAGCUAACGCAGUAAGUGCCCCGCCUGGGGAGUACGGUCGCAACGCUUGAAACUCAAAGGUAUUGACGGGGGCCCGCACAAGCGGUGGAGCAUGUGGUUUAAUUCGACGCUACGCGCAGAAC